UGCUUGUGGUCUUAUUUUUUAAGCUUUCACAUUUGGAAGGGUAGCUGUUCAGAAAGGUGUAUAAUUAUAGCUUUCGAAGGCUAUAUCACCAUCAAAGCUAGGAUAUUCUCUUGGACUAUAUCACCAUCAAAGCUAGAGUAUUCUCUUAAGUAAGUUUUCCUUUAUUCACAUGUUGAUCAACAGAGACAAAGCUACGGUUAGACUAUGGAAUGUGCCAAAUUUUAUUCUAAUUGUCCUGCUUUUGUCUGUCAUCGAGAUGUUUUCCUGUAUUCAGUUGUUGGGUUUGAUGGUGAACUAAAGACUGUGUCUCAAAAAUCUGUUGAUGUUUUCAUUCCUUCUGAUUUUUAUAAUUUACG
Molecule: non-coding RNA, 356 nt
Organism: Theobroma cacao (cacao)
Lineage: Eukaryota; Viridiplantae; Streptophyta; Magnoliopsida; Malvales; Malvaceae
Source: RefSeq, a predicted model, not a curated record